AGAUUGAACGCUGGCGGCAUGCCUAACACAUGCAAGUCGAGCGGCAGCGCGGGGGCGACCCUGGCGGCGAGCGGCGGACGGGUGAGUAAGGCAUCGGAAUCUGCCCUGAUGUGGGGGAUAACGUAGGGAAACUUACGCUAAUACCGCAUAUGCCCUACGGGGUAAAGCGGGGGAUCGUAAGACCUCGCGCUGGUGGAUGAGCCUACGUCCGAUUAGUUAGUUGGUGGGGUAAAGGCCUACCAAGGCUACGAUCGGUAGCUGGUCUGAGAGGAUGAUCAGCCACACUGGGACUGAGACACGGCCCAGACUCCUACGGGAGGCAGC
Molecule: ribosomal RNA, 324 nt
Filed under: uncultured prokaryote
Description: partial 16S ribosomal RNA
Rfam family: Bacterial small subunit ribosomal RNA
Source: RNAcentral